RNAcentral lists this long non-coding RNA (1560 nucleotides) under Phaseolus vulgaris (common bean). RNAcentral's name for it is "long non-coding RNA (PVUL_LNC001819)". The record is from RNAcentral. Lineage: Eukaryota; Viridiplantae; Streptophyta; Magnoliopsida; Fabales; Fabaceae.
UUCAACAUCAAACCAAACAUAAAUAUUUAUCUAACAUCGUGUUAGCUAGUAUUACAAUGUGAUUUUUCAUGAUUCAAAGUGAAUCCAAGCAUAACAAUCAGUAAUUUUCAAGGUAUUUUACAUAGAGAUAAUGUGCCCUUUCUUCUGUAUUCAUUCAUUUUCUUAGCAGUUACUAUUGUACAUCCUGGAUGGAACAUUGAAAAAAAGGUGAACAUUACUCAUGCUGCAUCUAAAUCUUUCUGCUUUCACACAAACGGAAUAUGUCAUCAUACUCAAGGCCUCUCUAGCAUUAGUUGUUCAUUCAACUAUCAAAGUAAACAACAACCAUCUCCUAGAUCUUCCCUUUCUGAAUGGAAAGAGAAUAUGGUUUGUGAGAUGAUUCAGAAAGACUCUAGCAUUGCCUCAAUAAAUGCCAAUCGUUUUUUUAUAUCUUUUUCCUAUCAGAAGCACACUUAUGAUGAUACUACUAACAUAUAUUCUUUAUUAUUGAUUCAAAUCUAUUGGAAAUCAGAAAAUUUAGUUAAUCAAACUUUCUAUUUAGUUAGUCUCAGUACUCCGGAUUUUAUAAACACUAACCAAUAAUAUAAAAUGUGUCGCUAUCAAUUCUCUAUCCUCGUUUAUAAAACGAUUUCCGCAGAAGGAUCCCAUGUUCAUGAUGGAGGUAUAGUUGGAAUUUAUUGUUACCUUCUUGCAGUAAUUUUGUGUUGCAGUUAUUUAUUUGAUCCUGGGGCUCGGUUGUGGGGGCUUCAAUGAACAGUGCUUGGACUGUAGAUUCUGUUUCACCAACCUUCAAAAAUAUCAAUCUCCUCCAACUUCCUCACCAGCCAGGAUCAUCAGGAAACAAACAGGAAAUGAAGUGACUUUCACAAAAACAUGCCCUUGAACUUGAUCUCAAUCUAUCAUCACAGGGAACAAAAAAACACCCUGAUAAAAAAAGAAAAUCUCAAAUAAAUAUAAAAAACCAGGUUGAAGAGAAAAAAUAAAACAAAAUUCAACACAAUCACCUGACCUGACACCUGCUUUGCUCAUUUUAGGAGUGAAAAUCAGUAAACCACAGUGUUACACACUCCAUCCCUCUCAAAAAUGAAAAUAAAAGCUCUUCCAGAAAAAGAAAAGGUGCUGAGCUAGAACUGCAAAUCCAUGUUUUUAUCACCAAGUUCAUACUCCAUCCGAGUAUUAAAUUAUAUUUCAUUUUCUUUACAGAAACAGUAGGAUGAUCCCUUGAUUAUGGAUUGGGACAGGUAUCAUAACAAAAUGAGGAAUUAAAUAUAUAUCAUCAUAUCAGUAAUCCAUAUAUGGUAAAGAAGUAGAAAAACACAAAAUAGAAAAUGUAAGAGUUUGCAAUCUAGAAAUGAAAUAUCAGUAUUAUAUGCACAUACCUAAAUAUAGAGAGAGUUGAGGAGGAUUGAGAGUGAGUUUGUGAGUAGAGAGACAGAAACAGAGAGGUAAGGUAAGAGCUGAAAAUUGGAAUUGGAAUUGGAAUUAGAAGGGUUGAUGCAAAGCAAAGGAAACCAAAGUGUGAGAUUAGAUUAGAAAAUAGUAGAGAAAGAGAGAGAGAGA